CCUACGGGAGGCAACAGUGAGGAAUAUUGGUCAAUGGGCGGGAGCCUGAACCAGCCAAGCCGCGUGAGGGAUGACGGUACAGCGUAUCGUAAACCUCUUUUGUCAGGGAAUAAAGGCGGGGACUAGUCCCCGGAUGCGGGUACCUGAAGAAAAAGCAUCGGCUAACUCCGUGCCAGCAGCCGCGGUAAUACGGAGGAUGCGAGCGUUAUCCGGAUUUAUUGGGUUUAAAGGGUGCGCAGGGGGCCUGUUAAGUCAGCGGUAAAAGGCCGGGGCUCAACCCCGGCGAGCCGUUGAAACUGGCGGGCUGGAGUGGGAGAGAGGUACGCGGAAUGCGUGGUGUAGCGGUGAAAUGCUUAGAUAUCGCGCAGAACCCCGAUUGCGAAGGCAGCGUACCGGCUCCACACUGACGCUGAGGCACGAAAGUGUGGGUAUCGAACAGGAUUAGAUACCCGGGUAGUC
This 459-nucleotide ribosomal RNA is filed under the name uncultured bacterium. RNAcentral describes it as "partial 16S ribosomal RNA". It matches the Rfam family "Bacterial small subunit ribosomal RNA", at positions 338 to 795 of the family's 1533-position model. The record is from RNAcentral.